UCACGCUACAUCUAAGUCACAUGUCCAAAAUAACAAAAAACAUAGCCAUUUCAACAUCUUGAAUAUUCAUCAAGCUAACAAAAAGAGCUGUAGCUACCCCUAAACAUUAUUGAGGCUGCUUUUCACUUCACUGAGACAUCAUCCACUUCACUGAGACAUCCUCCAGACCACACUAUAACCACUCUGAAAGAAGCAAACUGUAGCCAAAUUAGUCAAAGGUAUAAAGAUUAGAGUUAGCUCUAGGUUCAUGCAUAUCUAUUGGACAGCUCCCUGGUCAACAUAUAACAGUUAAUGAAACAAAUCUAUCCACAAAAAUAAUACUACUAUAUAGCAUAUCAGGUGUACGACCAUCACAAAUAGCAAAACUGAAAUUUGAACAUGGAAACUCUAGCAUCUCUACAAGCACAGUAUAUGGCAUGGCUGAUGUUAUUUAGGAAUAAACAUACAAAUCUAUGUUAUUCAGGUUUCUAGUUUACUCCUACCUGAUAAAACUAUAUGCAACAUACUCAAAUAAUGAAACUCCUUAUUUGCUGCAAGCAAAUUGCCAGCCAAAACAAUAGUUGUUACUUUAAUGCAAUUAUUAGUUUAUCAACUCAAUAUAGGAUGGAUUAAGGAAAGGGUACGUAUCACUGAACAGACCUUGGCAUUGAACUCAAACCUGAGCAUGACAUCCUGCUCCCAUCCCUUGCUACGCACAUCAAUAGAUAACUACAAGGCAUGGACAAGCUCAAAAUUGCAUCUAGUGAAAUUUAGUGAAAACACUAGAACAUCCUACCUACUAGAAAGCAGUGUAUAAUACAACAAUAUAAGAAACACCACACUGCUUGCCAACAAAAGUCCAAAAGCUCAACACAUAGACAAGAUUAUUCAUGGUUGUGGUACUAGUGUCAUUGUGUGCAGGUUUUGGUGUCACUCUAGUGUGACUUCAGUGGAAGACUAUGUAUGUUUGUUAAUCGGCACUCACAAAACUAUUAUCUAUCUAAAGAAAUUUCAGAAGGGACACUUAC
RNAcentral lists this long non-coding RNA (1007 nucleotides) under Sorghum bicolor (sorghum). Its description in RNAcentral is "long non-coding RNA (SBIC_LNC008419)". Lineage: Eukaryota; Viridiplantae; Streptophyta; Magnoliopsida; Poales; Poaceae. The record is from RNAcentral.